This 214-nucleotide ribosomal RNA is filed under the name Streptomyces sp. DconLS. Its description in RNAcentral is "23S rRNA. Bacterial LSU". It matches the Rfam family "Bacterial large subunit ribosomal RNA", at positions 2713 to 2925 of the family's 2925-position model. Lineage: Bacteria; Bacillati; Actinomycetota; Actinomycetes; Kitasatosporales; Streptomycetaceae. The record is from RNAcentral.
UGUGCCAGUUGUUCUGCCAAGGGCAUGGCUGGUUGGCUACGUUCGGGAGGGAUAACCGCUGAAAGCAUCUAAGCGGGAAGCCUGCUUCGAGAUGAGGACUCCCACCCACUUGAUGGGGUAAGGCUCCCAGUAGACGACUGGGUUGAUAGGCCGGAUCUGGAAGCCAGGUAACUGGUGGAGGUGACCGGUACUAAUAGGCCGAGGGCUUGUCCUC